UUAAAGGAAUUGACGGGGCCCGCACAAGCGGAGGAACAUGUGGUUUAAUUCGAUGAUACGCGAGGAACCUUACCUGGGCUUAAAUGGGGAGUGACAGCUGUCGAAAGAUGGUUUUCUUCGGACACUCUUCAAGGUGCUGCAUGGUUGUCGUCAGCUCGUGCCGUGAGGUGUCGGGUUAAGUCCCAUAACGAGCGCAACCCUUACCGUUAGUUACCAUCAGGUUAAGCUGGGGACUCUAGCGGGACUGCCACCGUAAGGUGAGAGGAAGUGGGGAUGACGUCAAAUCAGCACGGCCCUUAUGUCCAGGGCUACACACGUGUUACAAUGGCCAGUACAAAGGGCAGCUACCGGGUGACCGGAUGCUAAUCUCUAAAGCUGGUCUCAGUUCGGAUCGAAGUCUGCAACCCGACUUCGUGAAGCUGGAUUCGCUAGUAAUCGCGCAUCAGCCAUGGCGCGGUGAAUACGUUCCCGGGCCUU
Molecule: ribosomal RNA, 477 nt
Filed under: uncultured Sphingobacteriales bacterium
Lineage: Bacteria; Pseudomonadati; Bacteroidota; Sphingobacteriia; Sphingobacteriales
Description: bacterial SSU rRNA
Rfam family: Bacterial small subunit ribosomal RNA
Source: RNAcentral